Molecule: long non-coding RNA, 548 nt
Organism: Trematomus bernacchii (emerald rockcod)
Lineage: Eukaryota; Metazoa; Chordata; Actinopteri; Perciformes; Nototheniidae
Exons: 3
Source: RefSeq, a predicted model, not a curated record
UUUCAUUGGACUAUUUAAUUAUCGCGGGAGCUGCCACUUUUUGCAGGUUAACGGUUACGGCUCAGUGCGCGCCAAGUCUGUCUCUCAAGUCUGCCUUCCACGGACCACGGAGCUGUAUGUACAUGAGCGGAGGAUCACAUCUGUAGCACUGGACGAUCAUGCUAUUCUUCAAGGCGAUUCAUGCUGAGUGUGGAUCGAAACAUAGUACAGGACAACAUCCCCUCCUUGGUUUCUGCCCUGUCCAUGAUGUUUGGGAGCUAUUAUUGCUUCAACAUCGCCUACCCGUCAGAGCUGGCAUCCACCCUGGAGUUUGUCCAGAGGUGUUUUUUCUCCAUCAACCCAGAGAAGGCACCAAAGUGAAGAAGACACGUGCAUCCCGUCUUCAGGUGAACCCGAGAGUCCUCACCUUGAUACAGGAACUUUCGGACCAUGAGUGGCGUGAUGUCUGAAUAUGGACAGUAAGAUCAAUGGCAUGUAGCGAUGUGCCCAAGUUACAGUUUGUUUGAUUGUUUAAAUCGUAGUUAACAUUUGAAGUGCCUUUUUUUUCC